RNAcentral lists this ribosomal RNA (608 nucleotides) under uncultured fungus. RNAcentral describes it as "eukaryotic LSU rRNA". The stretch from base 234 to 387 matches the Rfam family "5.8S ribosomal RNA". The record is from RNAcentral. Lineage: Eukaryota; Fungi.
CUUGGUCAUUUAGAGGAAGUAAAAGUCGUAACAAGGUCUCCGUAGGUGAACCUGCGGAGGGAUCAUUACACAAAUAUGAAGGCGGGCUGGAACCUCUCGGGGUUACAGCCUUGCUGAAUUAUUCACCCUUGUCUUUUGCGUACUUCUUGUUUCCUUGGUGGGUUCGCCCACCACUAGGACAAACAUAAACCUUUUGUAAUUGCAAUCAGCGUCAGUAACAAAUUAAUAAUUACAACUUUCGACAACGGAUCUCUUGGUUCUGGCAUCGAUGAAGAACGCAGCGAAAUGCGAUAAGUAGUGUGAAUUGCAGAAUUCAGUGAAUCAUCGAAUCUUUGAACGCACAUUGCGCCCUUUGGUAUUCCAAAGGGCAUGCCUGUUCGAGCGUCAUUUGUACCCUCAAGCUUUGCUUGGUGUUGGGCGUCUUGUCUCUAGCUUUGCUGGAGACUCGCCUUAAAGUAAUUGGCAGCCGGCCUACUGGUUUCGGAGCGCAGCACAAGUCGCACUCUCUAUCAGCAAAGGUCUAGCAUCCAUUAAGCCUUUUUUUCAACUUUUGACCUCGGAUCAGGUAGGGAUACCCGCUGAACUUAAGCAUAUCAAUAAGCGGAGGA